This is a non-coding RNA of Acanthosepion pharaonis, 114 nucleotides long. Lineage: Eukaryota; Metazoa; Mollusca; Cephalopoda; Sepiida; Sepiidae. The record is from the annotation of a GenBank genome assembly.
UUACGACCAUAUCACAUUGAAACAUCGGUUCUCGUAUAAGUACCGAAGAUAAGCAACGCCGAGCCUGGCCAGUACCUGGAUGGGUGACCACUUAGGAAUAUCAGGUACUGUAAG